RNAcentral lists this non-coding RNA (27 nucleotides) under Cricetulus griseus (Chinese hamster). Lineage: Eukaryota; Metazoa; Chordata; Mammalia; Rodentia; Cricetidae. The record is from RNAcentral.
UCUGUGCAUAAUAAAAAGAUAUAUAUC